Molecule: non-coding RNA, 219 nt
Filed under: Aerococcus urinae
Lineage: Bacteria; Bacillati; Bacillota; Bacilli; Lactobacillales; Aerococcaceae
Description: T-box sequence
Rfam family: T-box leader
About the family: Uncharged tRNA acts as the effector for transcription antitermination of genes in the T-box leader family. T-boxes are found upstream of many aminoacyl-tRNA synthetase genes and some amino acid biosynthetic genes usually in Gram-positive bacteria.
Source: RNAcentral
GAACAAGUGAUGCUUGUGACUAGUAGCUUAGGAAACUUUUUAGCGAGUCCAUGGUGGGUGAGAAUGGAUAGGGGGACCUGGGUGAAUCCACACAAGGACUGCCUACGACUUAGUAUUAAGGAAGUAGGGCCGGCACAAACCGUUAUUUGUAAGUGUAAGGCAAGACUUGCCUUGAAGCAGGGUGGUACCGCGCAGAGUGAUGACCGUUUCGUCCCUUUG